CCCAAAGUCAUGGUUAAGUGGGAAACGAUGUGGGAAGGCACAGACAGCCAGGAUGUUGGCUUAGAAGCAGCCAUCAUUUAAAGAAAGCGUAAUAGCUCACUGGUCGAGUCGGCCUGCGCGGAAGAUGUAACGGGGCUAAACCAUGCACCGAAGCUGCGGCAGCGACACUAUGUGUUGUUGGGUAGGGGAGCGUUCUGUAAGCCUGCGAAGGUGACCUGUGAGGGUUGCUGGAGGUAUCAGAAGUGCGAAUGCUGACAUAAGUAACGAUAAAGCGGGUGAAAAGCCCGCUCGCCGGAAGACCAAGGGUUCCUGUCCAACGUUAAUCG
RNAcentral lists this ribosomal RNA (326 nucleotides) under Klebsiella pneumoniae. Its description in RNAcentral is "partial 23S ribosomal RNA". It matches the Rfam family "Bacterial large subunit ribosomal RNA", at positions 1046 to 1371 of the family's 2925-position model. Lineage: Bacteria; Pseudomonadati; Pseudomonadota; Gammaproteobacteria; Enterobacterales; Enterobacteriaceae. The record is from RNAcentral.